RNAcentral lists this ribosomal RNA (481 nucleotides) under uncultured bacterium. Its description in RNAcentral is "bacterial SSU rRNA". It matches the Rfam family "Bacterial small subunit ribosomal RNA", at positions 28 to 507 of the family's 1533-position model. The record is from RNAcentral.
GAUGAACGCUGGCGGCGUGCCUAACACAUGCAAGUCGAGCGGGGAUCUGCGAAGGAAGUUUUCGGAUGGAAUUUGCAGAUUCUAGCGGCGGACGGGUGAGUAACGCGUGAGCAACCUGCCCUCCACAGGGGGAUAACGCACCGAAAGGUGCACUAAUACCGCAUAAGACCACGUUUCUGACAUGGGGAUGAGGUCAAAGGAGCAAUCCGGUGGAAGAUGGGCUCGCGUCUGAUUAGCUAGUUGGUGAGGUAACGGCCCACCAAGGCGACGAUCAGUAGCCGACCUGAGAGGGUGAUCGGCCACAUUGGAACUGAGAGACGGUCCAAACUCCUACGGGAGGCAGCAGUGGGGAAUAUUGGGCAAUGGGCGAAAGCCUGACCCAGCAACGCCGCGUGAAGGAAGAAGGUUUUCGGAUCGUAAACUUCUAUCCUUGGUGAAGAUAAUGACGGUAGCCAAGAAGGAAGCCCCGGCUAACUACGUG